This 309-nucleotide long non-coding RNA is filed under the name Rosa chinensis. RNAcentral describes it as "sRNA RchiOBHm_Chr6g0265691". Lineage: Eukaryota; Viridiplantae; Streptophyta; Magnoliopsida; Rosales; Rosaceae. The record is from RNAcentral.
CGAGAUCCUACAUCAUCGAGCACGAGACACUUCCUUGACCGCUUUGACGCCUAAGACCCUACUUGGUGUACAUCGCCGCCAUCAAGCAAGACACGUCACUCGCCCGAAGAUGGAAGGGCUCGUCUCCUACCCGGACUGGGAAACAGGCUCAGCCAGCCCAUUAGGCUUCUCAGGCAUGCCAACAGAACCACCAUCAAAGGGCCCCGACUCCAUAGACCCAGAGUCAUCCACGGUGGCUGACACCGAUGCCGCUUUGACUUUGUUUCGCGAACCCCGAGGCCUGCCCUUCUUCUUGUAGACCUUAGGGCC